GCCGGUGUGAUGGAAUGGCAGACAUACAGGACUUAAAAUCCUGGGACUGUAAAAAGUCGUGCGGGUUCGAGUCCCGCCACCGGCACCA
This 88-nucleotide transfer RNA is filed under the name Limisphaerales bacterium. RNAcentral's name for it is "Verrucomicrobia subdivision 3 bacterium (hot springs metagenome) tRNA-Leu". It matches the Rfam family "tRNA". Rfam says of the family: Transfer RNA (tRNA) molecules are approximately 80 nucleotides in length. Their secondary structure includes four short double-helical elements and three loops (D, anti-codon, and T loops). The record is from RNAcentral. Lineage: Bacteria; Pseudomonadati; Verrucomicrobiota; Verrucomicrobiia; Limisphaerales.